Molecule: ribosomal RNA, 489 nt
Filed under: Sporosarcina sp. 'ARUP UnID 606'
Lineage: Bacteria; Bacillati; Bacillota; Bacilli; Caryophanales; Caryophanaceae
Description: bacterial SSU rRNA
Rfam family: Bacterial small subunit ribosomal RNA
Source: RNAcentral
AACGCUGGCGGCGUGCCUAAUACAUGCAAGUCGAGCGGAUGAUCAGGAGCUUGCUCCUGAUCGUUAGCGGCGGACGGGUGAGUAACACGUGGGCAACCUGCCCUGCAGAUGGGGAUAACUCCGGGAAACCGGGGCUAAUACCGAAUAAUCAGUUYCUCCGCAUGGAGRAACUCUGAAAGACGGUUUCGGCUGUCACUGCAGGAUGGGCCCGCGGCGCAUUAGCUAGUUGGUGGGGUAACGGCCUACCAAGGCAACGAUGCGUAGCCGACCUGAGAGGGUGAUCGGCCACACUGGGACUGAGACACGGCCCAGACUCCUACGGGAGGCAGCAGUAGGGAAUCUUCCACAAUGGACGAAAGUCUGAUGGAGCAACGCCGCGUGAGCGAAGAAGGUUUUCGGAUCGUAAAGCUCUGUUGUAAGGGAAGAACACGUACGGGAGUAACUGCCCGUACCUUGACGGUACCUUAUUAGAAAGCCACGGCUAACUAC